RNAcentral lists this transfer RNA (73 nucleotides) under Salmonella phage Arash. It matches the Rfam family "tRNA". From Rfam's summary of the family: Transfer RNA (tRNA) molecules are approximately 80 nucleotides in length. Their secondary structure includes four short double-helical elements and three loops (D, anti-codon, and T loops). Lineage: Duplodnaviria; Heunggongvirae; Uroviricota; Caudoviricetes. The record is from Rfam by way of RNAcentral.
GCCUCGGUAACUCAGUUGGUAGAGUUCCCGACUCUUAAUCGGAGAGCCGCUGGUUCGAGUCCAGCCCGAGGCA